Molecule: ribosomal RNA, 1325 nt
Filed under: Didymella glomerata
Lineage: Eukaryota; Fungi; Ascomycota; Dothideomycetes; Pleosporales; Didymellaceae
Description: partial large subunit ribosomal RNA
Rfam family: Eukaryotic large subunit ribosomal RNA
Source: RNAcentral
ACAGGGAUUGCCCUAGUAACGGCGAGUGAAGCGGCAACAGCUCAAAUUUGAAAUCUGGCGUCUUCGGCGUCCGAGUUGUAAUUUGCAGAGGGCGCUUUGGCAUUGGCAGCGGUCCAAGUUCCUUGGAACAGGACGUCACAGAGGGUGAGAAUCCCGUACGUGGUCGCUAGCCUUUACCGUGUAAAGCCCCUUCGACGAGUCGAGUUGUUUGGGAAUGCAGCUCUAAAUGGGAGGUAAAUUUCUUCUAAAGCUAAAUACUGGCCAGAGACCGAUAGCGCACAAGUAGAGUGAUCGAAAGAUGAAAAGCACUUUGGAAAGAGAGUUAAAAAGCACGUGAAAUUGUUGAAAGGGAAGCGCUUGCAGCCAGACUUGCCUGUAGUUGCUCAUCCGGGUUUUUACCCGGUGCACUCUUCUAUAGGCAGGCCAGCAUCAGUUUGGGCGGUUGGAUAAAGGUCUCUGUCAUGUACCUCUCUUCGGGGAGAACUUAUAGGGGAGACGACAUGCAACCAGCCUGGACUGAGGUCCGCGCAUCUGCUAGGAUGCUGGCGUAAUGGCUGUAAGCGGCCCGUCUUGAAACACGGACCAAGGAGUCUAACAUCUAUGCGAGUGUUUGGGUGUCAAGCCCGAGCGCGUAAUGAAAGUGAACGGAGGUGGGAACCUUUCGGGGUGCACCAUCGACCGAUCCUGAUGUCUUCGGAUGGAUUUGAGUAAGAGCAUAGCUGUUGGGACCCGAAAGAUGGUGAACUAUGCUUGAAUAGGGUGAAGCCAGAGGAAACUCUGGUGGAGGCUCGCAGCGGUUCUGACGUGCAAAUCGAUCGUCAAAUUUGGGCAUAGGGGCGAAAGACUAAUCGAACUAUCUAGUAGCUGGUUCCUGCCGAAGUUUCCCUCAGGAUAGCAGUAACGUUUUCAGUUUUAUGAGGGAAAGCGAAUGAUUAAAGGGCUGGGGGGUGAACCAACCUUCCCCUAUUCCCAAACUUUAAAUAUGUAAGAAGUCCUUGUUACUUAAUUGAACGUGGACAGUUGAAUGUAUCGUUACUAGUGGGCCAUUUUUGGUAAGCAGAACUGGCGAUGCGGGAUGAACCGAACGCGGGGUUAAGGUGCCAGAAUAUACGCUCAUCAGACACCACAAAAGGUGUUAGUUCAUCUAGACAGCAGGACGGUGGCCAUGGAAGUCGGAAUCCGCUAAGGAGUGUGUAACAACUCACCUGCCGAAUGAACUAGCCCUGAAAAUGGAUGGCGCUCAAGCGUGUUACCCAUACCCCGCCGCUGGGGCAGGAUUUAUGCCCCAGCGAGUAGGCAGGCGUGGAGGUCCGUGACGAAGCCUU